GACCUGAUAGCACAAUGGUUAGUGCUUCUGCUCGACUUAAAAUGUGUCAUGAAUUUUCGCAGAUGAUCCCCGUUCGAUUCGGGGUCAGGUCG
This is a non-coding RNA of Mycena metata, 92 nucleotides long. The record is from the annotation of a GenBank genome assembly. Lineage: Eukaryota; Fungi; Basidiomycota; Agaricomycetes; Agaricales; Mycenaceae.